This is a long non-coding RNA of Scophthalmus maximus (turbot), 449 nucleotides long. RefSeq lists it as uncharacterized. The record is from RefSeq and is a predicted model, not a curated record. The transcript has 3 exons. Lineage: Eukaryota; Metazoa; Chordata; Actinopteri; Pleuronectiformes; Scophthalmidae.
AGCUUCGACGUCAGAAGUCUGAGCAUGCGCACGAGAGCGGGCCAUUCGCAUACAGCAACGCAAGAGGCCACAGCGCUAACAUGUCGGACAAGAAACAGACCGUGGACCUGGGUUUACUGGAGGAGGAUGACGAGUUCGAAGAAUUCCCAGCCGAGGAUUGGACGGGGCUGGAUGAAGAUGAAGACGCUCACGUUUGGGAAGACAACUGGGAUGAUGACAACGUAGAAGAUGAUUUCUCAAAUCAGCUGAGAGCGGAGCUGGAAAAACAUGGUUACAAAAUGGAGACAUCAUAGCGGCCGUCGCAGAAUCUGAUGACAGAGGACAUGGACAUUUAUAUUUGAAAAUUACUGGUUGACCGCACAUCACCAGAAGAUGUUUGACAAUGUGAAUUUGUUUUUUUUUUGUAAGAAGUGUGCAUAAAAAUAAACAGUUUGGACAAAAAUGGUUAA